Nicotiana tabacum (common tobacco) is the source of this 949-nucleotide non-coding RNA. Lineage: Eukaryota; Viridiplantae; Streptophyta; Magnoliopsida; Solanales; Solanaceae. The record is from RefSeq and is a predicted model, not a curated record.
CUCUAUCUAUCAGUUUCUGGAUUCUGCUUUUCCUUGCACUGUUUACCUCACCUAUUCAGAAUGAAAGCCUCCGCUUACCCUUUUGCCUUUUGCAGUUUAAGACAAUAAAAUUUAUAACUGGACACUCAAAUGGUUUAGCUAUUGAGAUUUUGAAUAGAGUGUCUGAUUCACCAUUUACGAGAAUGAUGUCCACAAGAAAGGCCAGGAGAUUGAUUAAACAACUUCCAUAAAGAAGGAGAAAGUGCUUCAGCAGUGGGCCCCUCGACUGCUUCAUACUCUGUAAUGGCUCUACAGACGUAUACGCAUUGUCUGGGAGUAGUUCACAGCUAAACAUAUGGGUUUGGACCUAUUAAUGUGAUGAGUCCUCAAUCGAUCAAUAGUUGGUUCCUCCUUCAUCACCCAAAUCUCCUAUUUAUGCAUGAACAUUAGCAAGGUAUAUCACUGGAAUUUGAGCAUUUAGCGUUACCAUAGCAGAACAAUUUUACCCUCACUAGUUUUAACAGCCUAACUGACAGAAACCAUGCAGCCUUUAUAGUAGCUGCCAGUGGAAAUUUGAAUCAGGAUUUGCCGGAGAGGCCAUUGGCACCUGCUUAUUACUUACUAGUCUCUCUCUCUGUUUACAAAUUAGAGUGUUUUUUGGGUGGUUUCAUCCUAAGUUGCUACUAUAAGCAUAACCAGAUAUGCAGCGCAAUAAUUCAUGUUCUGUUUUUGUCAAUGAAGAACUCAAACGAGAACUUUAUAUUCAGCCAUCAAGAUCUGCUACUUGAAGAAACCAAUGUGUAAGGACCAGGUCUAGCGGAUCCAUCAAAAUAGAUAGUUCAAUCAGAAAAGCAUGCAAGCCGUGCAACCUUACAGCAGAUUAACAGCAUACUGAAGCUGAAGAGGAAUGCAUGGUUACUGUCUGCCGCAUGCUUAAAGAGCGCCUCAACUGCACGGGGCACAACCCCUG